Molecule: long non-coding RNA, 1210 nt
Filed under: Oryctolagus cuniculus (rabbit)
Lineage: Eukaryota; Metazoa; Chordata; Mammalia; Lagomorpha; Leporidae
Description: lncRNA (ENSOCUG00000039531.1)
Source: RNAcentral
UCACCCCUCUAACACAGAUUUAAGUCAAACCCACAGUUGGGAAGCAAGUUUUUCCCAGCAGAGAAUGGUCCAAGUGCUUGGGCCCCUGCACCCAAAUGGGAGACCCAAGAAACUCCUGGCACCUGGCUUUGUCCUGGCACAUCCGUGGCCAUUACAGCCAUUUGGGGAGUGAACCAGCAGAUGGAAGAGGUCGUUUUCUCUCUCUCUCUCUCUCUCUCUCUCUCUCUCUCUCUCCCUCUCUCUCCCUCUCCCUCUCCCUCUGCCUCUCCCGCUCCCUGUCUCCUCCCUCUCCCUUUGACUGUCUAUUCUGUAAUUCUGACUACAAAUAAAUAAAUAAAUGUUUUUUAAAAAAGCUAAGAAAGGAAUAAUUAUCUCACAGCCAACAAAUAUUCUGUGGGCUGAUUUGUUCCCUAGUGAGUCUGAUGUAUUUUGGAAUGCUUUGGAUACUGAGCAGCAACAUGAAUUGGUUUUUAGUCUUAGUCCCACCUCUGAGUCAUGGACCACCUGAUGAGAGUUUGGUCCUAGCAUUCAUCAAGUCUUGCAUUUCUUCCUGGACAACUGUCCCAGUUCCCGUGAUAAAUUACUCCACCUAAGGGUGUAUUUGAAGAUUUCACAGUGUGGAGCUGAUAGCACAUGUGCUGGGUACUGAGUGAUGUCAUACAAGGAGGGCAGAGAUUCUGUCCCUGACUUAAGGAAUUUAUCGGAGAGAGCAAGGGAGAGACAAGUUCUAACCUAAGUCAGAAUGUUUUUGUGAAAAUGCCAUGGAAACACAGAAGAAAAAAGAGAAUCCUGAUGAGGGGAAUUCAUCAAGGAGCUGAAGCAGUAAAACAGGUGGAGCUGGAAGGAACAGCAUACAAUUGGCCUGUAACACCAGGGGCUUACAAGAAUAAACAUGAAAGGCUGGGAGCAACCUUCCUGUCAAUUAAGAAACAGUCAGCAGUACUUCAAGUGAGCACUUCCAGCAGAACUCAGCAACUGGAAUCGGAGUGGAAACGCAUGCUCUGAGCCACAAAAGAGGCUCCAACCCAGAACUAUAAGUUUUGCAAACUAUGCCUUAUACACACUUAUCCUCCCUCCCCCCUCCCCACUCUUGUAAAGCUAGCUACUAAUACUCAAUAGGAAAAGCAUUGUUUUUGGACCAUUUAUUUGAAAGUAUAAUAGUUUGGCAUUUUUCUGCAAGAAACACUAAUAAACCUCAGGAGGAGUCACA